UCUACCCAUUCCCUUCUUCCUUUCUCUCUUUUCUUUCCCUCUUUCUUUCUCUCCCUCACCCUCACGCACGCCCAUCUCCUUCCCUCAACAGCCCUUCACGCCAGCCCAACCAUCUGCCACCAUCUCCAUCUUCAUUCCAUUUCCCCCACCACUCACACCCCACAGCCACCAGCACCUCACGCCUUCAUCCUUCACACCACCCAACAGUCCCACGCCAGCAGCUCCUCUAUCAUUGUGCUGCCGCAUACACCACAGCACCGUCUUCUUCAAUCCACGCCUCAGCCAGCAACCACCAAGCAGCAGCCGCACCUCCAUCCACAGCUCAGCUCGUGCCCAGCAGCCGAUCAGCUCAGCAACCUCAAAACCGAACCAGUAGAAGCAGAACCAGUUUCUCCUCCUUCAGCAAUGAUUUGCGAGUUGUUUUUCAGUGCCUUCCGGGCCUCCUUUGGGCUAAUCCGGUCUCUAAUGUGGAGAACCCGGAGCCCGAAGUUGAAGGAUCCGGAACGUAGGUAGCCUAGUAGUUUCUUUCUAGAGACAGACUAGUGUGUAUAAACCUGAGAUGUUUAUAAAGCGUGAUUGAUGAAUUUGGUUAUCCUACUUUUCUA
Long non-coding RNA from Eucalyptus grandis, 605 nucleotides. RefSeq lists it as uncharacterized. Lineage: Eukaryota; Viridiplantae; Streptophyta; Magnoliopsida; Myrtales; Myrtaceae. The transcript is spliced from 2 exons. The record is from RefSeq and is a predicted model, not a curated record.